Molecule: transfer RNA, 33 nt
Filed under: Arabidopsis arenosa
Lineage: Eukaryota; Viridiplantae; Streptophyta; Magnoliopsida; Brassicales; Brassicaceae
Also listed under: 8 other names
Description: partial tRNA-Phe
Source: RNAcentral
GCCGGGAUAGCUCAGUUGGUAGAGCAGAGGACU